UAUAAGAGUUAAUAUCUGCUACUGUUAUCAGUCAAUGCAUCAUAUUUACCGUAGAUCAUAGAUAAUACGUAAAAUACGACAUAAGAGAUUUAAAUAACUGAGUGUGUGUCAUGUGACACAAUUGAAUAGUCAUUCUACAAUCGAGAAAUUGUAAAAACCAUUUUGUUGUUUGAUAAAUGGUUGGAUAAUACUAGUUCUUCGUUGUAGAGCAGAUUUUCUUUAUCUACCGAGUGUCGUAAUUAUUAACAUCAUAUUUUGUAAUAGCACGCAAUAGUGGAGUGUAUCGUUUUUAUUCUCUUUAUUUAAUCGAUUAAAAUGUCACGCAAUUUAUUAAUUAAUACUGGUAAUAUACUUUCUUUAGAUGAGGCUAAAAAGAAGGCUAGUCAGAAUACAAGAGACGAGUUAGUCGAUACGCUGAAGAUUAUUUUGAGAGAAGAAAAGAAUCAAGGGGACAACAUUGUAUUUAUGAACGGUAUAGGAGAUACUGGUAUUGAAAAUACAGAGAGAGCCGAAUUGAAAGUAACCGUCAAGGUUUUUGUUUCAUCUCCUGAAGCUGAAUCAUUGAAAGAUGCAUUAGACAAGGUCUUUGAACAUUUGAACACGGAUACGAUUGAAUCCUUGGUGAUUGCUUAUACCACUAAACACGAUUCUGAAGAUAUAUUAAUGUCUUUAAAAUCUUUAUGGAGAGCUGUCGAAGAAUAUGUGAAAGUUGGAAAAUUAUCUAGCGUAGGACUAAGCGACUUAAGUACUAAUACGUUUAUUGAACUCUUUCAAUGGGCGAAUGUUAAACCUGCUAUCGUACAAAUUAAUUUAGCUACAUGUUGCGUCGUUCCACCAGCCUUACAAGAAUUUUCUAAAGCGAACGAUGUACAACUAUUAACGCACAGUGAUCCAUCAGAAAUUUUACCGGAGGAUAAGUUGAAGGAGAUAUUUGGUUCGCCAGUGUCAUUACACUGGGUCGUUAAAUAUCAAAUACAUCUUAAAUGUCGAGCUCGGUAAGUUGACCUCCUUACGCUAACGGCAUCGCGAAAAGUACAUAGACCAUAGAUACCAUAGUGCCAUGGUGCCAUAUACUAUAUAUACACUAUAGCAUAAACAAAAUCGGAAAGGAAGGAAGGAAGGAAGGAAGGAAGGAAGGAAGGAAGGAAGGAAGGAAGGAAGAUUUGAAAGGAUAGAAAAGAAGAAUCGAGGAACGGAGCAAAGUAAGCGAAGUAACCCAGGCAACCCAAGGAAAGCAGCAAGCAGCAAGCAACCAGUCAUGAGGCCCCUUUUACCUUUACGUAUAGUCCUCCGCGUGGCUUUCUUCGCAUCGCCGCUCUAGAUCUUCGGAUAAGAGGGAACACCAUUUUAGCGGUUCCUUACACACCAGACAUCCGUUCCAUUCCCUACACCGAAGCAGCACAAACUCCUUCUUUGCUAACUCCUUCUUUCUUUGGGUAACUUCAGAGCGAUCUAGGUAGAGAGAUAGAUAUAUAGGUAUAUGUACAACACAAGAUGAUAGGGGAAGAAAAAAAGAGAUUGCUUGGCAGAAACUAGAUGUCGUCUAUGCGGAUUUCCAAUCAUAACACUUAAUAAUAAAGCAAGAAAAUUAUGAAAAGUUGUUUUUUAAAUAUUAUAUUGGAAUAAAUUACGAUAAUGAGACGCGAUGAAAAAAAGUAACAUAAGUUUAUAUUUUACAUUCAUUAGAGGACGUGUCUAAUGGGAGAAGAUGAAAUUGAAAAUGCAUGAGAGGCGAGUGGAAGAUGAUCAUGAUCUUACGUUGCUUGUAAUUCGAAAGAUUAUAAUCCCACGUAUCGGUACCUAAUUUGUUGCGUGAGAACGAAGGAAGCAGAAAAUAGGGUACCGUUUUGCGUGAUAACGAGCGACGAGGGUCUUACCACUUCUCUCUCUCUCUCUCUCUCUCUCUCUCUCUCUCUUUCUUUCUUUUUCUAAUCUCGCUGAGAUCUUGAAAAAGACAUUGUAU
RNAcentral lists this unclassified non-coding RNA (1963 nucleotides) under Polistes dominula (European paper wasp). RNAcentral describes it as "glutamate--cysteine ligase regulatory subunit, transcript variant X4". The record is from RNAcentral. Lineage: Eukaryota; Metazoa; Arthropoda; Insecta; Hymenoptera; Vespidae.